AUUUAUUCUAUAGAAAAAAAUCAUUCCAAGCAUAAACAUUCGAAUGCGUUGCACCUCUUUUUCCUCGACGUUUGCUUUCGAAAUGCCAAGUUGAUUGCAACAAGGUUCAGUCGGUUCAGAAUAAAUAGACACGCAGCAACACGUCGCCAUCGUUUAUCGUGGACUCUGACAUGCAUUCAGCAGAAAUGUCUUUAUUGAACUAGCGUUUUCUGGUAUUAUUUGUUGACAUGACAAGCCAAUGUUCAUGUUCUCAAAGUGUGAAAUGUCGCCGCUUAUAAGGACUGUCAUUGACACGUGUAACCAAGUUAAUGCGGUGCUGAUCGCUAGCCACACAAGACAAGUCUCACCAUGUCGUCCACCAGCGCACAAGUCAAGAAUCAUCGGCAGCCAACAUUAUCAGUUUGCUGUGCUGCCAAUGCGUCUUGGCGCGAUUAUCUUUUACUUCUCUGCGGCAUUUUGCUGAUGACAGUUCUAUUAUCGUUUUACUACUACUUUUAUCUCCUGCGUAUUGAUUCAUUCGCGUCGGAAACGGUCGGCGAAAGCCUCUCGAACGGACGGAGCCAGUCCGUCAAUGGAACCAUUCAGCCUCCUAUCUGACUCAAUCAAAAGGCGAAUGUACUAUUUCGCAAUUCUAAAACGCCAUCGUGCUGCUGUUUUUCAAUGCGAGUUGGAAAUACGGUCGCGAACGUCUCGUCAAAUAAGCUAUAUUAUCCAACAAUUUUUAUUUCGUGAAGUCAAGCGGACGGGAAAAUGUAUACAUUAGUUUCCCCUCGGGAAUUCUGGCAGCCUAUCGGAGAGAAGCUUUGAAAUGAAAAAGAUGCGCUCUGCUGUUUGUAUAAUAGUUCUGUACAUGAAUAGUUUCUCUUCUGUAACGCGACGAGAUAGCGAAUAAAUGCGCGUUUAUAGUCUC
This is a long non-coding RNA of Daphnia pulex (common water flea), 910 nucleotides long. RefSeq lists it as uncharacterized. The transcript has 2 exons. NCBI's taxonomy places the organism in Eukaryota, Metazoa, Arthropoda, Branchiopoda, Diplostraca, Daphniidae. The record is from RefSeq and is a predicted model, not a curated record.